This 910-nucleotide ribosomal RNA is filed under the name uncultured bacterium. RNAcentral describes it as "bacterial SSU rRNA". It matches the Rfam family "Bacterial small subunit ribosomal RNA", at positions 33 to 934 of the family's 1533-position model. The record is from RNAcentral.
ACGCUGGCGGCAGGCUUAACACAUGCAAGUCGAACGGUAGCAGGAGAAAGCUUGCUUUCUUGCUGACGAGUGGCGGACGGGUGAGUAAUGCUUGGGAAUCUGGCUUAUGGAGGGGGAUAACUACGGGAAACUGUAGCUAAUACCGCGUAGUAUCGGAAGAUGAAAGUGCGGGACCGCAAGGCCGCAUGCCAUGAGAUGAGCCCAAGUGGGAUUAGGUAGUUGGUGGGGUAAAGGCCUACCAAGCCUGCGAUCUCUAGCUGGUCUGAGAGGAUGGCCAGCCACACUGGAACUGAGACACGGUCCAGACUCCUACGGGAGGCAGCAGUGGGGAAUAUUGCGCAAUGGGGGGAACCCUGACGCAGCCAUGCCGCGUGAAUGAAGAAGGCCUUCGGGUUGUAAAGUUCUUUCGGUAUUGAGGAAGGAGUGUAUGUUAAUAGCAUACAUUAUUGACGUUAAAUACAGAAGAAGCACCGGCUAACUCCGUGCCAGCAGCCGCGGUAAUACGGAGGGUGCGAGCGUUAAUCGGAAUAACUGGGCGUAAAGGGCACGCAGGCGGUUAUUUAAGUGAGGUGUGAAAGCCCCGGGCUUAACCUGGGAAUUGCAUUUCAGACUGGGUAACUAGAGUACUUUAGGGAGGGGUAGAAUUCCACGUGUAGCGGUGAAAUGCGUAGAGAUGUGGAGGAAUACCGAAGGCGAAGGCAGCCCCUUGGGAAUGUACUGACGCUCAUGUGCGAAAGCGUGGGGAGCAAACAGGAUUAGAUACCCUGGUAGUCCACGCUGUAAACGAUGUCGAUUUGGGGAUUGGGCUUAAAGCUUGGUGCCCGUAGCUAACGUGAUAAAUCGACCGCCUGGGGAGUACGGCCGCAAGGUUAAAACUCAAAUGAAUUGACGGGGGCCCGCACAAGCGGUG